Molecule: ribosomal RNA, 460 nt
Filed under: uncultured bacterium
Lineage: Bacteria
Description: partial 16S ribosomal RNA
Rfam family: Bacterial small subunit ribosomal RNA
Source: RNAcentral
CCUACGGGAGGCAGCAGUGAGGAAUAUUGGUCAAUGGACGCAAGUCUGAACCAGCCAUGCCGCGUGCAGGAAGACGGCUCUAUGAGUUGUAAACUGCUUUUGUACGAGGGUAAACGCAGAUACGCGUAUCUGUCUGAAAGUAUCGUACGAAUAAGGAUCGGCUAACUCCGUGCCAGCAGCCGCGGUAAUACGGAGGAUUCAAGCGUUAUCCGGAUUUAUUGGGUUUAAAGGGUGCGUAGGCGGUCGGAUAAGUUAGAGGUGAAAUCCCGAGGCUCAACUUCGGAAUUGCCUCUGAUACUGGUCAGCUAGAGAGUAGUUGCGGUAGGCGGAAUGUAUGGUGUAGCGGUGAAAUGCUUAGAGAUCAUACAGAACUCCGAUUGCGAAGGCAGCGUACCGGCGCCCAACUGACGCUGAAGCACGAAGGCGUGGGUAUCGAACAGGAUUAGAUACCCUAGUAGUC